This 100-nucleotide non-coding RNA is filed under the name Dolosigranulum pigrum. RNAcentral's name for it is "TPP sequence". It matches the Rfam family "TPP riboswitch aptamer (THI element)". Rfam says of the family: Vitamin B(1) in its active form thiamin pyrophosphate (TPP) is an essential coenzyme that is synthesised by coupling of pyrimidine and thiazole moieties in bacteria. The record is from RNAcentral. Lineage: Bacteria; Bacillati; Bacillota; Bacilli; Lactobacillales; Carnobacteriaceae. RNAcentral also lists the same sequence under 1 other name.
UUUUAAUACUAGGGGAGCCUACUGUAGGCUGAGAGGAGUGAUCUGACCCUUUGAACCUGAUCUAGUUGAUACUAGCGGAGGGAAGUAUCUAUUCUUUCUA